This is a long non-coding RNA of Oncorhynchus masou masou (cherry salmon), 8034 nucleotides long. RefSeq lists it as uncharacterized. The transcript has 3 exons. NCBI's taxonomy places the organism in Eukaryota, Metazoa, Chordata, Actinopteri, Salmoniformes, Salmonidae. The record is from RefSeq and is a predicted model, not a curated record.
AGGACCUCUCCACGCCCACCAUAAGCUGAUUGGUUCAAACGUAUCAUUAUUGAAAUAAGUACGGUUUGGUUUUAGGGGAUUGGCUGUGAGUUGAGGGCGAUGCAUUGCAACAACUGAUUGAUACAUUAUUCGGUUCGUUUUGCGUGGGCUGGUGUCCCGGGUUAGCGGAGUUGUUAAUUUAGGACCAUUCCAUUGGUCCUUAAGUGAAAUAGCCAUCCACCCGGGGCACCGGGCCAUGCAAAACGAACUCCACCAAUGUAACAACAGAUAAUAAUAUAUUGUAACGGAUAGAUGCAUAAUAGUCAAGAUAUUGUAAUACAUUCGACCCUAUGCAUUUAAUCAGCAAAACAUUGGACAUCUUUUAAUAGAUUUUUCUAUUGACUAUGGUCCUACUAAUUUCAUCCUAAUCACCAAUUUAUUGGAUAGGGAUCUGUUACUUAAUAGCCUGCUUUACCCAGAAGGUUGGUGAUGAUUUAUAUUGAAUAACAUUGUGCUGCAGAGAAGCAAAAAUGUGUACAUUUGGCCCUAUUCUCCAGAAUUUUGGAUAUGAGAUUAAAUGUUUCAUAUAUAUCUGUUUUACUGUUUAGAUAUCACUUUGUGUAUCUAGUCCCCCCAUUUUGAAUAAGUUUUAUUUGGAACAAUGAAAUUUUAGUAUCUUAAAGUAGUCAAAAGUUUAGUAUUUGGUCCCAUAUUCCUAGCACGCAAUGACUAUGUCAAGCUUUGCAGUUUGUUUUGGUUGUGUUUCGGAUAAUGUCUUGCCCAGUAGGAACUGAAUGGUAAAUAAUGUAUUGUGUCAUUUUGGAGUCACUUUUAUUUGAAAUAAGAAUAGAAGAUCAUGAAUGAAUCCUGAAUAAUGAUGAAUGAGAAAUGCUAACCUCCCCUGUUAUUGGUAAUGGUGAGAGGUUAGCAUUUUUUGAGGGGGACUAGAGACAUAAAGUGCUUUAAUUUCUAAACAGUAAAACCGGUGUGUAUGAAAAUACCCUCACAUAAAAGGUGACAUUCCGUACUGUCACUUCAUAUGAAACAUUUUAUUUAUUUCAAAUACAAAAUGCUGGAGUAUAGAGCCAAAUGUACACAUUUUUGCUUCACUGUCCAAAUUAAUACAGAUGGGAGUGUAUAUGAUAUGGGAAUGGCUGUUAAGUGAACCACUUUCAGUUGAAAAUCAUGAUCAUAAAAAAAUGUAAUAAUUUUGUGUCGACAGCUUCACCUGACCCAAUGACCUCUGCCUGGGCUCAGGUGCCAGCAGCCAGCGGGUCACCAGUAACCGUCUGGCUUGACCAGUUUAAGGCUUUCAUUCGGGUGUGUGUAUUUGAGGUACAGCCAACCCAAACCAGUAUGGCUUGAUGGAUGAAUCCAGACCACUGUAUAAGGGUAUCCAAUUGGUAGUUACAGUCUUGUCUCAUCGCUGCAACUCCCGUACGAACUCGGGAGAGGGGAAGGUCGAGAGCCGUGCGUCCUUCCAGCCAAGCUGCACUGCUUCUUGACACAACGCCCGCUUAAUCGGGAAGCCAGCCACACCAAUGUAUCGGAGGAAACACUGUCACCUGGAGACCGUGUCAGCGUGCAUUGUGCCCAGCCCGCCACAGGAGUCGCUAAUGGGAAAAAAGCAUCCCUGCCGGCCAAACCCUCCACUAACCCAGAAGACCCUGGGCCAAUUGUGCGCCGCCCAAUGGGUCUCCCGGUCGUGGCCGGCUGUGACAGAGCCUGGACUCGAACCAGGAGCUCUAGUGGCGGGAGGCCACCCAAACAGAGCUUCUGGACAUCAGAGCUUCUGAGCUUCUGGACAUCAGAACAGCAAUUUGCUCACCUCAAACUGGAUGAAGAUUAUUUGUUUAAUGAGUCUGAUGCGAAGGUUACACUGCUUUCCCGAGGCCAGGCCCAAAUCCCCGUCAUUCGCGUAAAGAAAAGACUGAGAUACCGGGGACGGAGGUUGGGGUGCCUUGUGAGAAUUCAUUGGCAAGUGGGUAAACCACCUAUUGGCCAACGUUUUCACUGGAAAAUAAACUGGAUGAUCUAUGAUCAAGACUAUCCUACCAACGGGACAUUAAAAACUGUAAUAUCUUAUGUUUUAUGAGUCGUGGCUGAGCGACGACAUGGAUAAAAUAGAACUGGCUGGCUUUUCCGUGCAUUGGCAGGACAGAGCAGCUACUUCUGGUAAGACGACGGGCGGGGGUGUACAAGACUAAGACUAAGAUUGAUACAAGACUAAGAUUGAAUCCUAUUUCACCGGCUCUGACACUCAUCGGAUGUGGCAGGGCUUGCAAACUAUUACGGACUACAAAGGGAAACCCAGCUGCGAGCUGCCAAGUGACGCGAGCCUACCAGACGAGCUAAAUGCCUCGCUUCGAGGCAAGCAACACUGAAGCAUGCAUGAGAGCACCAGCUGUUCGGGAGGACUGUGUGGUCCCGCUCUCCAUUGCCAUUGUGAGCAAGACUUUUAAACAUCACAAGGCCACAGGGCCAGAUAAAUUUCCAGGACGUGUACUCGGAGUAUGCUUAGACCAACUGGCAAGUGUCUCACUGACAUUUUCAACUUCUCCCUAAUAAUUCCACCACAUUUACAGUUGAAGUCGGAAGUAGGAAGCUCUCCACAAAAGGUUUGUGAACAUGCCUGCUAUCAAAUACAUUUAAUUCAAUUAUACAGAUGAAGCAGGAAGUUUAUAUAAAUUAAGGUUGAAGUCAUUAAAACUCAUUUUUCAACCACUUCACAAAUUUCUUGUGAACAAACUAUAGUUUUGGCAAGUCGGUUAGGACAUCUACUUUGUGCAUGACACAAGUAAUUUUUCCAACAAUUGUUUACAGACAGAUUAUUUCACUUCUAAUUCACUGUAUCACAAUUCCAGUGGGUCAGAAGUGUACAAAUACUAAGUUGACAGUGGCUUUAAAAAGCUUGGAAAAUUCCAGAAAAUUAUGUAAUGACUUUAGAAGCUUCUGAUAGGUUAAUUGACAUCAUUUGAGUCGGAGGUGUACUCGUGGAUGUAUUUCAAGUCCUACCUUCAAACUCCGUGCCUCUUUGCUUGAUAUCAGCCAAGACCUCAGAAAAAAAUUGUAGACCUCCACAAGUCUGGUUCAUCCUUCGAAGCAAUUUCCAAACGCCUGAAGGUACCACGUUCAUCUGUACAAACAAUAGUACGCAAGUAUAAACACCAUGGGACCGUCAUACCCCUCAGGAAGGAGACGCAUUCUAUCUCCUAGAGAUGAAGGUACUUUGUGCGUAAAGUGCAAAUCAAUCCCAGAACAGCAGCAAAGGACCUUGUGAAGAUGCUGGAGGAAACAUGUACAAAAGUAUCUAUAUCCACAGUAAAACAAGUCCUAUAUCGACAUAACCUGAAAGGCCGCUCAGCAAGGAAGAAGCCAUUGCUCCAAAACCGCCAUAAAAAUAUAGACUACGGUUUGCAACUGCACAUGGAGAGAAAGAUCGUACUUUUUGGAGAAAUGUCCUCUGGUCUGAUGAAACAAAAAUAGAACUGCUUGGCCAUAAUGACCACCAUUAUGUUUGGAGGAAAAAGGGGGAGGCUUGCAAGCCAAAGAUCACCAUCCCAUCCGUGAAGCACGGGGGUGGAAGCAUCAUGUUGUGGGGGUGCUUUGCUGCAGGAGGGACUGGUGCACUUCAUAAAAUAGAUGGCUUCAUGAGGGAGGAAAUUAUGUGCAUAUAUUGAAGCAACAUUUCAAGAUGUCAGUCAGGAAGUUAAAGCUUGGUCGCAAAUGGGUCUUCCAAAUGGACAAUGACCCCAAGCAUACUUCCAAAGUUGUGGCAAAAUGGCUUAAGGACAAGUCCAGGUAUUAAAUGUCAGGAAUUGUUAAAAACUGAAUUUAAAUGUAUUUGGCUAAGGUGUAUGUAAACUUCCGACUUCAACUGUAUGUGUGAGGAAACCAUGAAUAAGGUCUAGAGCCGUGCCAUUAUUCCGAAUUUUAAAACCUCUUAGAUGUAAGGUCCCUUUUUAGCGGACCUGUGUGUUUCUGGUACCGGUUCUGUCUGACAUUUUUGCUUAUAAGUUGAUAUGUGGAUACCAUAGUGGAUAUCGAAAUGGCUUGCAUUGAGCGAUAGCCCUGGUUCCCACAUACACAGUAAUAUAUUUUCUGACCCCGUGUGACGUAUGAUGUGAAAUCUGAAACCACUUGAAGCUGGGAUGUCCCUCCUACCAUUUAAUUUGCUCUUCCGACUGUCCAUCAACUCCUGGCUGAACCCUACAUCACAGCCACUGACAAAGCACAUGCCUGUAAGCAUUCGGUCGUAGCGCAGCAGGAGGGAGUGGUUUCAUCAUGAUAGCACAUUCAGAGAUCGAUUUAUAUCCAUUAAUCAAAAAUAAAUAAUCGAUUUGAAACAAAUAUUUUCUGUUUGCCACAGACGGACAAUAUUAACAUGAGAUGAAAGGUGAGUUCUUAGAGCUCUGUGAUAUGUUCACAAAGAUGGGGGCAAAAGUUUUGAUCAAGAGAGACCUUUAGAAAAUAUGCACAUUUUGUCUAACACUAAACAUACAAAUAUGUAUUUACAGUUAUAAGGCAGGUGAAAUCUUAUAGUUAGUCGUUUUAUCAUUUCAUUAUGCUAUAUUUAGAAAGUAUAUGUAAUUUCAUUCAUUUUGUUGAAUAGGAAGUACAUCAUAUCAAAUAUUUCAUAUUUUUAUAAUAUUUGUACUGUGUACUUGAGCUUGUGUCCUCAAUAGUGACUAAACCUCAGCAAUUUACAACUAUUUUUACCAGAAAGGUAAGAUUUUAACCUUUUCUUUGAGUAUACAACAUUACUAGUUAUUGUUUAUGAUAAAUAAUUACUUUUGGGGAUUACAUAGAUGACAUUUUCGAUUACAUUUAACUGGAUAAUAUGCAUGGAUGAAAUUUUGACAUCCAAGCUAAGUAAUACCCAUAUAUAUAUAUUUAUUACUGCCACUUUGGUGUUAGUUUUCUUCAAUGAGUUGCUUACAUUUUGCAUCCUUCUAUUCCAUUUACAUUUAUUUCCUCUGCCAGGGCCGUUUAAACAGUUCCUGAGGGUCUUAGUAUUAGUGGAUCAUAUUAGGCUAAUGUUGUGCUAUAAUUUGGGACAUGCAGUGGUGUGUAUUCAUGGGGCCAAGGGAAGCCAGGCUUCCCUCUGUAUGCGUACAGAGACACGACUUUGGUCCUGCGGUUUUACGUCCCUCACCCAUGCUUGCAUCGUCCAAUGGUCCCCCGCCCACUUCGCUUCCUUCAUUAAAAAUGUAUGGACUUCCAAUGACCACGUUCACAUGCACACAGUAUUCUGGAUAGUAGCUCAUAUCCCACUUAAGGUCUUAUUCGGGAUAAGCUGUUUCAAACCAACGUUUAUUUAUCACAUGCUCCAAAUACAACAGACCUUACAGUGAAAUGCUUACUCAUAGGCUCUAACCAAUAGUGCAAAAAAGAUAUUAGGUAUUUAUUUAUUUCAGCAUCUCUUGAGAAAAUGCAAGUGUAAUGUGUUAUCUUUGACACUGUUAUGCAAGCAGACACUAUUUCAACCCCAAAUAUGCACCUAAAACAAAGUGAUGUCUUACCAGAAACAUGUUUAAUAGUUUUCUCAGAUUUUAAUUUCCCUAAAACCAUUCAAACUGAUGACAUUUUGCACAGGACCAAUCUUUCCACUGUUUUGGAGUUAGUGAGUUUUCUUCCCGGUCCCUAAAAGAAAUAUACAACUUUACUUGUGUUAAUUUUAUUACUAAUGUAUUAAUUAUAUCAGUGUAAAACAUUAUUCAGGUGAGAACUACUUUAUUUAGUCUUCUGGUGCAAGAAGUUAUGACAAAAGAGAAGCUGCAUGUAACUAUAGUUAACAAACAAAUGGUCUACCAAAUGUAGGAAAUUAUCAUUUGGUCUACCAAAUGUAGGAAAUUAUAAUUUGGUCUACCAAAUGUAGGAAAUUAUCAUUUGGCCUACCAAAUGUCGGAAAUUAUAAUUUGGUCUACCAAAUGUAGGAAAUUAUAAUUUGGUCUACCAAAUGUAGGAAAUUAUCAUUUGACCUACCAAAUGUAGGAAAUUAUAAUUUGGUCUACCAAAUGUAGGAAAUUAUAAUUUGGUCUACCAAAUGUCGGAAAUUAUCAUUUGACCUACCAAAUGUCGGAAAUUAUCAUUUGGUCUACCAAAUGUCGGAAAUUAUCAUUUGGCCUACCAAAUGUCGGAAAUUAUCAUUUGGCCUACCAAAUGUCGGAAAUUAUAAUUUGGUCUACCAAAUGUCGGAAAUUAUAAGCAGAAAGUUGUCUAAAUGAAGGGUGAAAGUAGCCAGUAGGCUAUACUGUCCAGUACGGAGUAUCAGCAAAAUACAUUAUUAUGGUGGAUCCAACUGUGCAGGUAGCCUACUUUUUGAAGUGAUUUGUUUGACAAUCAGAUGAAAAUAUCAUCACACAACACCAAUGAUAUGCGAAACAGAGCUUGUGCAGACCCAGAAAAAAAAACAGUAAAGUAGAUAAGAUUUUUACAUGCCAGUUUCCCGUCUAAAAUCAGCAUAUCCCAGGCAUUUUAUACGGGUUUCUCAAAACUGAGAUACGAGCCUUUUUCGGGUUAUUGUAAACGGGAUAUGAUGUUUAGGUGUCAACUCCAAAACAGAAUACUUGAGUAUCCCUAAUAAUAACGGGAUAUUGGUGUGCAUGUGAACGUUGUCAUUGUUUCAUCGACCCCAAUGUGCUAUGUGGACCUCCUGUGUAAAUCUGAAUACGAAUUACUGAGAAGUGUGCAGGAUAGGCGUAAAUUCCUAAAUCGGAAUCGGCCCUAUUGUGAAUACAGUAGCCUUCUCUCUAGAUGAGUUUAAAUUCGUUUAACAAUUAGGUCAAGAUUGAGCUGUUAAGACGAACCCAGACAUCGUAGUCUAGUAGGGCUACUAGGGCUUUUAGAAUGCUUUGAUCACCAUCUUCGCAGAACCCUGUCACACACGCUCAAGCCAGUACAGUAUCCGUAUAUGAGAGAGUAUGGGUGAUCUUACCUCCAGACCUGUGCUAGCUGAAAUAUAUGGAUGAAGCAUUGAAAGAGCCACAUAAAGGCUCUGCAGCAACCUCGGGCUCCUCCCAUAGUGCCCGUCGUAUGCAAUUUCCCGAACUCAGCAUCGCGGCCAGCGCCCGUUUGAUCGCUGUCCUUGGUGCUGAAAUGGCUCUCGGCGCCCGAUGCUGCGACCGCUGCUGCGGCUGUGCUACUAUCGUUGGUAUCCGAAUAAUCAUAGGCGAACCACCUAAAACUCAGCACCUGAACCACCACAGAUGGGACGAUCACGAAGACCAGUGUCAAUGCAAACCACCAGUAGUUCCGGCUGAGGUAGUAAUCCGCUGCCAGCCACAGGUCUGAGGCCCCGUCCGAAAAGAACACCAAAAGGGCACAUAGCGUCCAACUGCAAUCGUGGAGUGAGUAGCGCUUCCUAUCAGGGUGGCACUGAGGCGAACGUUGAUCUGAACCGGGCAGACCCUCGGGCAGGAUGUCAUUUCGCAACGAGACGGGUGCACCAUCAGAUUUAGCGGCCAUGUUUGUUGUAGAGAAGAGAGUGGGUAAGGGAGAUGGGGAAAUUAUGGAAGGGAGGAGGGGGUCGCGUAUGUGUGUGAAUGCAUGCAUGUGUGGGGGAGAAAGGAAGGGAGGAAUAAAUGGCGAAGGGAGGUGAGAAAGCGAAAACGAUAUUUCAUUUUAAAAAUCCUGACAAAAAAUUGAUUGAUUUAGCUCUACCAUAUAACGGAAAUUAAGUGUGAAAUUUUAGCAAGCUAGAUCAUAAGAUUAAUGAUUGUGCAGUUUUAUUAAAUACUGCAUUUGCACUGGCAGGGGAGCCAUGACGAAACAGUUGGACGUUCCAUCAGUGCCGAACCGAACAAUACUGAGGUGGCCGUAAUGAGAACACAUCAGAUGUUAAAAUGUCAAUUUACUAUGAUUUAUUAUGAAAUUAGUUAUAUGGAGGCUGUGUUGUUGCUGUGUGUAUAUAUGUAGUGCGUGUAUGUGUGUGUUUUUAUUUUUUUGUUUGAACAUUUCCCUUGGGAAAAAUAAAUACAAAUAUGACUGGGAUAUGUAUAUGAAAUGUAAUAUCUUUCCUGCUAAAAUAUAUUAAAUUAAGUCACUUUACAAGUA